GAUGAACGCUGGCGGCGUGCUUAACACAUGCAAGUCGAGCGAGAAGUUUUGAAAAGAUUCUUCGGAUGAAAUUUAAAAUGGAAAGCGGCGGACGGGUGAGUAACGCGUAGGCAACCUGCCCCAUACAAAGGGAUAGCAUUUGGAAACGAAUAUUAAUACCUUAUGAAACUUAACUAGUGCAUGCUAGGUAGGUCAAAGAUUUAUCGGUAUGGGAUGGGCCUGCGUCUGAUUAGCUAGUUGGUGAGGUAACGGCUCACCAAGGCGACGGUCAGUAGCCGACCUGAGAGGGUGAACGGCCACAUUGGAACUGAGACACGGUCCAAACUCCUACGGGAGGCAGCAGUGGGGAAUAUUGCACAAUGGGGGAAACCCUGAUGCAGCAACGCCGCGUGAACGAUGAAGGCCUUUGGGUCGUAAAGUUCUGUUCUAGGUGAUGAAAACUGACAGUAACCUAGGAGAAAGCCCCGGCUAACUCCGUG
Molecule: ribosomal RNA, 479 nt
Filed under: uncultured bacterium
Lineage: Bacteria
Description: partial 16S ribosomal RNA
Rfam family: Bacterial small subunit ribosomal RNA
Source: RNAcentral